AAGCUGUCUGGGCAGAUGCGUGUUGCCGUUCAGAGAAGUGGAGGUGUCUGUUUGAGGUGCAUUGCAUUUUCCUGGAAUUCCUGCCUUUAUUGAAGAUGGAACCUUGUUUUCUUCACCAGCUUUGCUGUAUGCUGUGUGCCAUGCAGGCCACCUUUGGACUUGGAUGAGCAUUUGGGGUGCCACAAGCGAUGAUGGCUGCAGUGUCCAACACUGGAAUCUGUGUGGAGCAGAUGAUGAAGAGGAACCUGGCAACUGCAGGAAUAUCCUGGUUUGCUGAUGUGGUUUUUGUUGAGGAUGGAUUCAGAUCCCCAGCCCUCUGAAAGCUAAAUGCGGUGGUGUAAGCAUCUCGCGAUGCUCAAUAGAUUCCCCCCCGAGCCCAGCUUUGCCUGCCGGUGGCUAAGAAGACUCACCGUAAGGGGCCGGCCCUGUGCCUGGAGGCUCCUGGCUCUGUCUGCAGCGGGUGCCCCGCAGUCCAUCACAGCCAUGGAGUGCACAACCGAGCGAGGCUGCGUGUCUAGGAAGUUUCAUCUCGUAAGAGCUGUGAGACACCCACGUAUUCUCUCAGGUGGAGGACAGCCAAGUGACCAGAGUUACAGAAGAGGGAGGAGAGCAGGAGAAAGAAGGGUCUGAACUGACAAAUUCUUCUGGCAGCGCCGAGAGCAAGAGCUGUGCCCGUGGAGGUCCAUGGUGGAGCAGACAUGCACCCGCAGCCCGUGGAGGACCCCACGCCAGAACAGGUGGAUGUGCCUGCAGGAACCUGUGACCCUGUGGAGAGCGCACACUGGAACAGGCUCCUGUCAGCAGCUGUGGAGAGGAGCCCAUGCUGGAGGAGGUUUGCUGGCAGGACCUGUGGCCCCGUGGGAAGGACCCCACGCUAGAGCAGAAGAAGAACAUGAGGAGGAAGGAGCAGCAGGGACAACAUGUGAUGAACUGACCGCAACCCCUGCUCCCUGUCCCCCUGCACUGCU
Molecule: long non-coding RNA, 968 nt
Organism: Gymnogyps californianus (California condor)
Lineage: Eukaryota; Metazoa; Chordata; Aves; Accipitriformes; Cathartidae
Exons: 8
Source: RefSeq, a predicted model, not a curated record